Molecule: long non-coding RNA, 1400 nt
Filed under: Arachis ipaensis
Lineage: Eukaryota; Viridiplantae; Streptophyta; Magnoliopsida; Fabales; Fabaceae
Description: long non-coding RNA (AIPA_LNC001174)
Source: RNAcentral
AGCACAAUAAUUAACAUGCUUUAACAAAAAUUAACAGUUUUCAAAUCAAUUUUAACAAGUUCAGCACAAUGAUUAACAGGAAAAAAAAGGCACUAUAAGCACUGCCAUCUCUCCAAUUGCUUAAUAACCUCCUUUCCUUUCCAACAGCUUCAAAGUAAUCUCUAGCUCAUCCUACAAUAAGUUAUAUCAAUUAGAAAUGAUCAAAUCACAUUCAUUUUGUAUGCAAAAACAGUUUUAACAUGGAAAGCUUCAUUGCAAGAAUUCAAGUCGGUGUGCAGGUCCUCGAACAGCAAAUCAAUACAAGCAUUCAAGAAAAAGAAAGACAACACAUCAACAACACAACAAAGAAUCGAAGAAACAUUUAAAACACAGUAACAACACAACACCUAUAGAAACAUUUAAAACAAAGCAACAAAGAAAGAAAUAUCUAAGAAUUACCAUUGCUGAGAACAGUAACUUGAACGUGUAUGCUCAAAGAAUCAAAGGCUAAGCUUCCCUGGGAAAGUGAAGAACACCCAAACGAAGGAAACUUCAAUCACAGCUUAAACCAAAAUUCACAAUCCCUUUCAAUUGAAGCCACAAGCAACUUGAGAACUAAAGCAAGGUUAACAAGGUUAAGCAGUGAACUAAAUCGGCGUAAUUUUACCAAAGAUUAACUGAACUAAAUCAAUUAAUUAUUUAAUGAUUCAAUCCAAAACAAGAAAACCGUAUAAUAUAGCACAGGAGGAGCAGAGCUAAUUAAUGAUUUAAAUUUCAAUCUGAGUAGCAUUAAUAGAAUCCCAAAAAAAUUAAUAUUCUAGCAGAAUCUCAAAAAAAAAUCAUUGAAUCAAUGUUCUGAGCAAAGAUAAAAAAACCGAGAACGAAUUUUUUUAAAAAAAAUGAAGCCAUUGCCUUCGUGAGCUCGAGGAAGACGCACCAAUUGUUGAAUGAGGAAGAAGCGCGGAGCCACAGACGACCGGACGAAGACACGGUGGUGUUUGAGCGCAACGGACGGCGGCACUGAGUGAGUUCCUUGCGGCGGUGGGGGAGUAAACUUGGGUUUGUGUUUUGGGGGUGGGGGGCUGUAUACCUGUAUCUGACUGAGGAGGAUGAGAAGUGGGGAACCUGCGGUGCGCUGCUCGAGGGGAAGGAGAACGGGUUUCUUUUUUCUUUAAAGAAAGCGCAUAACGGCGAGCAGAGAGCAUAUGAAGACAACGGCUAGCACGACGGCAACAUGACGGACGCUCGAGGAGUAAGCUACGUGCCUGCGAUUGGUGAGUUUGAGAGCGAACAGGGGUUGGAGAGGGUUGCGGCGGAAGCUCGACGGACGGCGGCAAUGGCUCACUCCUUGCGGCAGCAGUGGAACUUAGAACCCUAAUUUUUGAACUUUGAAGCUUUGCUUUUCUGAUUUUGAAUGAGUC